RNAcentral lists this ribosomal RNA (253 nucleotides) under uncultured bacterium. RNAcentral describes it as "partial 16S ribosomal RNA". It matches the Rfam family "Bacterial small subunit ribosomal RNA", at positions 524 to 776 of the family's 1533-position model. The record is from RNAcentral.
UACGUAGGGUGCAAGCGUUGUCCGGAAUCAUUGGGCGUAAAGAGCUCGUAGGCGGUCUGUCGCGUCUGCUGUGAAAACUCAGGGCUUAACCCUGAGCUUGCAGUGGGUACGGGCAGACUAGAGUGCGGUAGGGGAGACUGGAAUUCCUGGUGUAGCGGUGAAAUGCGCAGAUAUCAGGAGGAACACCGGUGGGGAAGGCGGGUCUCUGGGCCGUAACUGACGCUGAGGAGCGGAAGCAUGGGGAGCGAACAGG